RNAcentral lists this ribosomal RNA (253 nucleotides) under uncultured bacterium. RNAcentral's name for it is "partial 16S ribosomal RNA". It matches the Rfam family "Bacterial small subunit ribosomal RNA", at positions 524 to 776 of the family's 1533-position model. The record is from RNAcentral.
UACGGGGGGGGCAAGCGUUGUUCGGAAUUACUGGGCGUAAAGGGCUCGUAGGCGGCCAACUAAGUCAGACGUGAAAUCCCUCGGCUUAACCGGGGAACUGCGUCUGAUACUGGAUGGCUUGAGUUUGGGAGAGGGAUGCGGAAUUCCAGGUGUAGCGGUGAAAUGCGUAGAUAUCAGGAGGAACACCGGUGGCGAAGGCGCUCAUCUGGCCCAAUACUGACGCUGAGGCGCGAAAGCUAGGGGAGCAAACGGG